RNAcentral lists this ribosomal RNA (540 nucleotides) under uncultured bacterium. Its description in RNAcentral is "bacterial SSU rRNA". It matches the Rfam family "Bacterial small subunit ribosomal RNA", at positions 775 to 1314 of the family's 1533-position model. The record is from RNAcentral.
AGUCAAUAGAUACCCGGGUAGUCCAUGCCGUAAACGAUGAUUGCUAGGUGUGGGGGGUCUGACCCCUUCCGUGCCGGAGUUAAACACAAAUAAGCAAUCCACCUGGGGAGUACGGCCGCAAGGUUGAAACUCAAAGGAAUUGACGGGGGCCCGCACAAGCAGUGGAGUAUGUGGUUUAAUUCGAAGCAACGCGAAGAACCUUACCAGGUCUUGACAUCCACCGAAUCCUGUAGAGAUACGGGAGUGCCCUUCGGGGAACGGUGAGACAGGUGGUGCAUGGUUGUCGUCAGCUCGUGUCGUGAGAUGUUGGGUUAAGUCCCGCAACGAGCGCAACCCUUGUGAAUAGUUGCUACGAAAGAGCACUCUAUUCAGACCGCCGUUGACAAAACGGAGGAAGGUGGGGAUGACGUCAAAUCAUCAUGCCCCUUAUGACCUGGGCUACACACGUACUACAAUGGUCGUCAACAGAGGGAAGCAAGACCGCGAGGUGGAGCGAACCCCUAAAAACCGAUCUCAGUUCAGAUUGCAGGCUGAAACUCG